UAUGGCCUACGGGGGGCAGCAGUAGGGAAUUUUCGUCAAUGGGCGCAAGCCUGAACGAGCAAUGCCGCGUGAACGAGGAAGGUCUUCGGAUCGUAACGUUCUGUUGAAGGGGAAAAAGAGCGGAGAGAGGAAAUGGUCUCCGAUUGAUAUUACCCUUCGAGGAAGUCACGGCUAACUACGUGCCAGCAGCCGCGGUACUACGUCGGUGGCGGGCGUUAUCCGGAAUGAUUGGG
Molecule: ribosomal RNA, 233 nt
Filed under: uncultured bacterium
Lineage: Bacteria
Description: partial 16S ribosomal RNA
Rfam family: Bacterial small subunit ribosomal RNA
Source: RNAcentral